UACGUAGGGCGCAAGCGUUGUCCGGAAUUAUUGGGCGUAAAGAGCUCGUAGGCGGCUUGUCACGUCGGGUGUGAAAGCCCGGGGCUUAACCCCGGGUCUGCAUUCGAUACGGGUUAGCUAGAGUGUGGUAGGGGAGAUCGGAAUUCCUGGUGUAGCGGUGAAAUGCGCAGAUAUCAGGAGGAACACCGGUGGCGAAGGCGGAUCUCUGGGCCAUUACUGACGCUGAGGAGCGAAAGCGUGGGGAGCGAACAGG
Molecule: ribosomal RNA, 253 nt
Filed under: uncultured bacterium
Lineage: Bacteria
Description: partial 16S ribosomal RNA
Rfam family: Bacterial small subunit ribosomal RNA
Source: RNAcentral